This 296-nucleotide ribosomal RNA is filed under the name Salmonella enterica subsp. enterica serovar Weltevreden. RNAcentral describes it as "partial 23S ribosomal RNA". It matches the Rfam family "Bacterial large subunit ribosomal RNA", at positions 1084 to 1378 of the family's 2925-position model. Lineage: Bacteria; Pseudomonadati; Pseudomonadota; Gammaproteobacteria; Enterobacterales; Enterobacteriaceae. RNAcentral also lists the same sequence under 4 other names. The record is from RNAcentral.
CCCAGACAGCCAGGAUGUUGGCUUAGAAGCAGCCAUCAUUUAAAGAAAGCGUAAUAGCUCACUGGUCGAGUCGGCCUGCGCGGAAGAUGUAACGGGGCUAAACCAUGCACCGAAGCUGCGGCAGCGACGCUUAUGCGUUGUUGGGUAGGGGAGCGUUCUGUAAGCCUGCGAAGGUGGCCUGUGAGGGUUGCUGGAGGUAUCAGAAGUGCGAAUGCUGACAUAAGUAACGAUAAAGCGGGUGAAAAGCCCGCUCGCCGGAAGACCAAGGGUUCCUGUCCAACGUUAAUCGGGGCAGG